This 57-nucleotide transfer RNA is filed under the name Hyalella azteca. RNAcentral's name for it is "tRNA-Arg". The record is from RNAcentral. Lineage: Eukaryota; Metazoa; Arthropoda; Malacostraca; Amphipoda; Hyalellidae.
AAGACGAAAGUAAAUUACAUUCAGUUUCGACCUGAAAAAAGGCUAAGCCUCGUUUUA